This 499-nucleotide ribosomal RNA is filed under the name uncultured bacterium. RNAcentral's name for it is "bacterial SSU rRNA". It matches the Rfam family "Bacterial small subunit ribosomal RNA", at positions 43 to 524 of the family's 1533-position model. The record is from RNAcentral.
CAGGCCUAACACAUGCAAGUCGAGCGAACAGAUAAGGAGCUUGCUCCUUUGACGUUAGCGGCGGACGGGUGAGUAACACGUGGAUAACGUACCUAUAAGACUGGGAUAACUUCGGGAAACCGGAGCUAAUACCGGAUAACAUAUUGAACCGCAUGGUUCAAUAGUGAAAGGCGGCUUUGCUGUCACUUAUAGAUGGAUCCGCGCCGUAUUAGCUAGUUGGUAAGGUAACGGCUUACCAAGGCAACGAUACGUAGCCGACCUGAGAGGGUGAUCGGCCACACUGGAACUGAGACACGGUCCAGACUCCUACGGGAGGCAGCAGUAGGGAAUCUUCCGCAAUGGGCGAAAGCCUGACGGAGCAACGCCGCGUGAGUGAUGAAGGUCUUCGGAUCGUAAAACUCUGUUAUCAGGGAAGAACAAAUGUGUAAGUAACUGUGCACAUCUUGACGGUACCUGAUCAGAAAGCCACGGCUAACUACGUGCCAGCAGCCGCGGUAAU